Fukomys damarensis (Damara mole-rat) is the source of this 302-nucleotide unclassified non-coding RNA. Its record names the gene 7SK. It matches the Rfam family "7SK RNA". From Rfam's summary of the family: 7SK was discovered as an abundant small nuclear RNA in the mid-70s but a possible function has only recently been suggested. Two independent studies have found that 7SK RNA binds the CDK9/cyclin T complex (known as elongation factor P-TEFb). P-TEFb activates transcription by phosphorylating the C-terminal domain of RNA polymerase II. NCBI's taxonomy places the organism in Eukaryota, Metazoa, Chordata, Mammalia, Rodentia, Bathyergidae. The record is from Ensembl.
GGGUGUGAGGGAUCUGGCUGUGAGAUCUGUCACCCCACUGAUCGCCAGAGUUGACGCUGCUGCUCUGGCUGGCUGGGCGGGGUCCCCUUCCUCCCUCAGGGUGCCAUGUGCGUCCCUGCAGAAGCUGCGCCAGGAAGAGGAGGCCAUCCCCAUAGAGGAGGACCGUUUCCUGUGGGGGGUAUAGAGCAACCGUGCCCCCUGCCCACCACCUACAAACAAGUCUCCAGAGUGGAGAAUUGAGGCUUCGAAUUCAUGAGAAAAUUCAUCAAUUUCCCAAAUUCCCAAUGUGCCUGAGGAUUUUG